UUAAGCGUGUAGGCUGGUUUUCCAGGCAAAUCCGGAAAAUCAAGGCUGAGGCGUGAUGACGAGGCACUACGGUGCUGAAGCAACAAAUGCCCUGCUUCCAGGAAAAGCCUCUAAGCAUCAGGUAACAUCAAAUCGUACCCCAAACCGACACAGGUGGUCAGGUAGAGAAUACCAAGGCGCUUGAGAGAACUCGGGUGAAGGAACUAGGCAAAAUGGUGCCGUAACUUCGGGAGAAGG
This 237-nucleotide ribosomal RNA is filed under the name Escherichia coli. Its description in RNAcentral is "partial 23S ribosomal RNA". It matches the Rfam family "Bacterial large subunit ribosomal RNA", at positions 1512 to 1746 of the family's 2925-position model. Lineage: Bacteria; Pseudomonadati; Pseudomonadota; Gammaproteobacteria; Enterobacterales; Enterobacteriaceae. The record is from RNAcentral.